CAUGCAAGUCGAACGAGAAUCUACUGAAAGAGUUUUCGGACAAUGGAUGUAGAGGAAAGUGGCGGACGGGUGAGUAACGCGUGAGGAACCUGCCUUGAAGAGGGGGACAACAGUUGGAAACGACUGCUAAUACCGCAUGAUGCAUAGGGAUCGCAUGAUUCUUAUGCCAAAGAUUUAUCGCUUCAAGAUGGCCUCGCGUCUGAUUAGCUAGUUGGCGGGGUAACGGCCCACCAAGGCGACGAUCAGUAGCCGGACUGAGAGGUUGAACGGCCACAUUGGGACUGAGAUACGGCCCAGACUCCUACGGGAGGCAGCAGUGGGGAAUAUUGGGCAAUGGGCGCAAGCCUGACCCAGCAACGCCGCGUGAAGGAAGAAGGCUUUCGGGUUGUAAACUUCUUUUAAGAGGGAAGAGCAGAAGACGGUACCUCUAGAAUAAGCCACGGCUAACUACGUGCCAGCAGCCGCGGUAAUACGUAGGUGGCAAGCGUUGUCCGGAUUUACUGGGUGUAAAGGGCGUGCAGCCGGGUCUGCAAGUCAGAUGUGAAAUCCAUGGGCUCAACCCAUGAACUGCAUUUGAAACUGUAGAUCUUGAGUGUCGGAGGGGCAAUCGGAAUUCCUAGUGUAGCGGUGAAAUGCGUAGAUAUUAGGAGGAACACCAGUGGCGAAGGCGGAUUGCUGGACGAUAACUGACGGUGAGGCGCGAAAGUGUGGGGAGCAAACAGGAUUAGAUACCCUGGUAGUCCACACUGUAAACGAUGAAUACUAGGUGUGCGGGGACUGACCCCCUGCGUGCCGCAGUAAACACAAUAAGUAUUCCACCUGGGGAGUACGAUCGCAAGGUUGAAACUCAAAGGAAUUGACGGGGGCCCGCACAAGCGG
Molecule: ribosomal RNA, 879 nt
Filed under: uncultured bacterium
Lineage: Bacteria
Description: bacterial SSU rRNA
Rfam family: Bacterial small subunit ribosomal RNA
Source: RNAcentral